GGAGAGAUGGCUGAGUGGUCGAAAGCACUGCCUUGCUAAGGCAGCGAGUGGGAAACUGCUCCGUGGGUUCAAAUCCCACUCUCUCCGCCA
Molecule: transfer RNA, 90 nt
Filed under: Oligoflexales bacterium
Lineage: Bacteria; Pseudomonadati; Bdellovibrionota; Oligoflexia; Oligoflexales
Description: tRNA-Ser
Rfam family: tRNA
About the family: Transfer RNA (tRNA) molecules are approximately 80 nucleotides in length. Their secondary structure includes four short double-helical elements and three loops (D, anti-codon, and T loops). Further hydrogen bonds mediate the characteristic L-shaped molecular structure. tRNAs have two regions of fundamental functional importance: the anti-codon, which is responsible for specific mRNA codon recognition, and the 3' end, to which the tRNAs corresponding amino acid is attached (by aminoacyl-tRNA synthetases). tRNAs cope with the degeneracy of the genetic code in two manners: having more than one tRNA (with a specific anti-codon) for a particular amino acid; and 'wobble' base-pairing, i.e. permitting non-standard base-pairing at the 3rd anti-codon position.
Source: RNAcentral